RNAcentral lists this long non-coding RNA (298 nucleotides) under Setaria viridis. RNAcentral's name for it is "long non-coding RNA (SVIR_LNC004603)". Lineage: Eukaryota; Viridiplantae; Streptophyta; Magnoliopsida; Poales; Poaceae. The record is from RNAcentral.
GAUCAUCCAGUUGGGCCAAUCACUCAGGCCCGUGCGAGAGAAUUAAACUUCAUCAUGCUGUUAAGGACAGAAGGCCCAGCGGAAUAAGAAGAUGGCCCAACAGGGCAGCCUAGGUGGGGCGCCUAGGGUUGGGAGCCGCGGUCCUCCCCCUGGUCACGCGCGCCCCCCCUCCUGCCAUGGCGCCUCCUCCGGACUCCAGGGGCUGCGCCCCCUUUAUUUAGUCAGAGUCCCUUUUGUUUACGACUUGAGUUUUGUUUUACAUCUAGCUUUAGCUACUCUCAAACACGUGCAAAUACGC